Small nuclear RNA from Suncus etruscus (white-toothed pygmy shrew), 104 nucleotides. NCBI's taxonomy places the organism in Eukaryota, Metazoa, Chordata, Mammalia, Eulipotyphla, Soricidae. The record is from RefSeq and is a predicted model, not a curated record.
GUGUUCACUUUGGCAACACAUAUACUAAAAUUGAAACGGUACAGAGAUUAGCAUGGCCCCUGCGCAAGGAUGACAUGCAAAUUCGUGAAGCAGGAAGGAAGGAA